CUCAAAUAAAUUUGAUCUCUCAACAAUAAUAUUUAGUACCUCUCUUUUUGGGCUGCACAAAAUAUAAUUGAGGGUAAAAUAGUUUAUAUACAGCUCUCAUAUUACUUAAACACUUUUGUUUAAAGGACAAUAUUUUGUAGCCGUUGUUGCGCAAACUUGAGGUUGACUAGAAUAUUGGUGUCUUCUAUGGAAAGGCAGACCCACAUGCUUCAGAUUGAGGAUGGCAGGUUUACGCAGAUUGCAUUAAUUCGGAGGGAAAUAUCCCAAGCCUCUUAGGCAAAAAUUGUUUCUAGCCUGAUCAUUGCAGAGGUGUCAACUUAUAGGUGUUAGCUGAGAUUUUCGACAUUGAAAAGUAGGGACUUGGCGUAUUUUGAUGGUGAUUUCCACGUAACAACUACAAUUUCAACUACAAGCGAUUACUUCACUUACAAAAGGAUAAGAUUAAAUACCGGCCACACACAGAAGUUUGGAUGUCGAAAAUACGUGGAAGCAAGUCAUCAGCCUCGAAGCCACGUAACAAGGAUACGUGUCGAGCAUACAGAUAGCAAUCAUAUAAGACAAUCAUAAAUCUAGUAGUAUAUAUAGGUAAUCAUGAUGUCGGGAUGAAGGGUUACCAAUUCACAUACAACUAUCCAAAACUUAUAGUAUCUGCAUUACUGAGAGAAAUAAGUGUGUGAGAGAAUGUACGAUCUUGUGUACCAUCUUUUCAUUUUUAUGUAUUUUAUUAAAGCAAUUUCCUUUAUUCAACUUAUCUCUUCAUUAUUUUUUCCUUGAUUUCACUUUACUUAACAUCCAACCUAACUCUGUUGGUAAUUUCCUUUUAACUUCUUUUUUACUUUACAGUCGAAUUAAUGGAUACUAUGAACAAAUCUAUUAAUUCUUGUACAAAUAUGUCAUAGGAUUUAGUAGUCAAUCAUGCAAGUAACCACCUUUGUAGAGUAGCACUUGUUUGACAAAACACCUGUAAACAAUAGGCCCGUGUAUCUCUGGCUUCGUCUUCCCGUAGGAGACAUGUGUCACUUACUGAGGCAUAAGAGGCACCCGAGUAUCAGCAUGAGGCAUCGAUGCCCCGCAGGUACCCGAGGCCCUAUAGGAUGCACCCGAGGCCUAGUAAGGGUUUAGAGGAGGCCCAUUAGGGAUUCAGAGGAGGCCGUAUGACUUGUCAUUGUUGCCUCUAUACCCAGACAAUACUUCCAGACAUGUAUAGGACUAAGAGGUAAACCAUAAAAGUAAAAUGAAAAAUAUCUCUUCUUUAUUUUUAUUUUGAAAAGUCAUGUUUGACGAUGAUUUAUUUUUAUUGCAAGACCGUGGUGAUUUAAAAUUCAUAAACCAUAGUCGAAAGAUGACGAUUCUACAAGUACCUAAUGAGUCGUGGUUUAUGAAUGUGUUGCUGCUAUCCAGGAUGAGAGAUUUGAGCAGGAACGAUUAUCCUACGGUUAACCAUGGUAUGAUGUAUGUCUUUGUAUAGAGACAGAACUUAGAGACGCCAUCAUUUCAUCUCUCACAUGGUGAGCUGUCUAUCACGUGAACAAUGUCUCCUAUCUGCUGCAUAUUCUGAUCUGGGGGGAUUCUUAGACCACGACAGAAUUAAAGGAGAUGAGGCAUUGGUGAUAUUGGUAGGCUAUCUGGGAGCUGACCUGGAAGAAGCUGUGAGGGAUUUAAAAGCCAUUCAAUGAGCUUGUGUUAGGUUUCAAUUGUUUGUAUAUACAAGUCAAAAGGUGUCGAACUGAUGGGGAUAUCAAUAAGAGUUAUGUUAGAGAUGGACUAAUAUUUUGAAUCUUGAGGAGUCAAUUGAAAUCACAUAAUUAUGAGUUUUUGGUUAAUGGAAUAGCCAUAAGAACGAUGAUAUACUAUUUUAUUAAGAGAAUUGAUAUUUCUUUGUAAACAAAUAUUCAUUGGAAGUGUGAAGAAAAACUUACAUCUCAGCAAAAUUAAAUUUCAUCUCUCAACAAUCAUAUUUAGUACCUCUCUUUUUGGGCCGGACAAAAUGUAAUUGAGGGUAAAGAUAAUUUAUGUACCACUCUCAUAUUUCUUAAAGGCAUUUUUUUAGAGGAUAACAUUUUGUAGCCGUUGUUGCGCGAACUUGAGUUUGGCCAGAAUAUUGGUGUCUUAUGUGGAAAGUCACACCCACAUGCUUGAGGUUUGCACUAUGUCCCUUAUUUUUAAUUCUUAAGUGAUGUGAGACUAUUUUGGUGAAUAUUUUCAACAAAUUCUAUUGAAUGGUUUUGCAUCAAUAAAAACCCUUCAAAAUAUUAUUGAAGUUUGAAUUUGGUUAAUCAAAUAUGUAGAAAAAGAUUUUUUAAAUAUAUUUUGGAAUCGCUUAAAACACCAAAUGGAUUGCUACAACACCCUCAUAAAAAAUCUCAAAUUUUAGAGACGCAUCUCCGGACGCAACACAAACACAUUCGUUUUUGAACCAGACCCUAAGGGUAUGUUAAAAACAUUUACAGUAAUGCAUCUCCGUGUACCUUAAGAAGAUGCAUAUAUCAUGAUGUUGUUUAACCAAAAGGGAGACAAAACCCUUUCUCCUUCCACACUUCUCAAAAUACUCUCUCAAACUCAACCUCUCACCUCUCAAAAUCUCUAACUCACAUUCUCUUAAAAUCAUUCAACUCGCCUCAAAUCUUCUUCCAUCAACAUCAAAAAACGAUUAAAGAGCUCAUUCAACAUCAACAUAUCUCACAUUUGGUAAAAAAAAAUUCUAUUUUUUUUUAUUUUCCAUCAAUAUUUGUGAAAAUUGAGCAUUAGG
Long non-coding RNA from Vicia villosa (hairy vetch), 2749 nucleotides. RefSeq lists it as uncharacterized. The record is from RefSeq and is a predicted model, not a curated record. Lineage: Eukaryota; Viridiplantae; Streptophyta; Magnoliopsida; Fabales; Fabaceae. The transcript is spliced from 3 exons.